Molecule: ribosomal RNA, 268 nt
Filed under: Staphylococcus epidermidis NIHLM031
Lineage: Bacteria; Bacillati; Bacillota; Bacilli; Caryophanales; Staphylococcaceae
Description: partial 23S ribosomal RNA
Rfam family: Bacterial large subunit ribosomal RNA
Source: RNAcentral
AGGAAAUUUGAGAGGAGCUGUCCUUAGUACGAGAGGACCGGGAUGGACAUACCUCUGGUGUACCAGUUGUCGUGCCAACGGCAUAGCUGGGUAGCUAUGUAUGGACGGGAUAAGUGCUGAAAGCAUCUAAGCAUGAAGCCCCCCUCAAGAUGAGAUUUCCCAACUUCGGUUAUAAGAUCCCUCGAAGAUGACGAGGUUAAUAGGUUCGAGGUGGAAGCGUGGUGACACGUGUAGCUGACGAAUACUAAUCGAUCGAAGACUUAAUCAA